This 408-nucleotide long non-coding RNA is filed under the name Physcomitrium patens. Its description in RNAcentral is "long non-coding RNA (PPAT_LNC010153)". The record is from RNAcentral. Lineage: Eukaryota; Viridiplantae; Streptophyta; Bryopsida; Funariales; Funariaceae.
AAGACGAGGCUUGAAGAAAAUAGUAACUUCUACAAGUACCAAUGACAAUAAGAAAAAUACUAUAAUAUUGAACUUAGAUCAAUUAUAAGUUUAAUGUACACAAUUGUUUUUUUUCCAAUUUCACUUUAUUUCAAUAUUUUGACAUAAUCAGAAUUGUUUAAAAGUAUUUAAAGAAAGAGAAGAAGAAGAAGAAAAAAAAUGUUAAUAUAGCUAAAUUUAAAUCAAAUUCAAUAGGUAGACAGAUAGAAAUAAGACAAUUACUAAGACACAAUUGUAAUAUUCUAUUUUUACAAGUAUGUAUGUGUACAUUUCUCUAUUAUCUUUUUGAGAAUUAAUGUUUUUCUAAUUUAUCAUGGUUUAUUUUGUGGAUUUGAAUUUAUUAGAAUAUUGUGUACAAUACAAAUGUGU